GACAUACCAGAUGUUCUAAUCUCUGAUAAGAAAAUUCUUGUUAAAUUUUAAUGGAAGAAAAUGGACUGGCGGUUAGGACACAUCCUUUACUCUUUUUUUUUUUUUUUUUUUUUUUUCCUAUUAUCACUUACAAAGACCUGGGACUAUGGUUUCUCCUGGCUGUACCACUCACUUCCAAGCACACUGAGACCUUGGGAACUAAUUCCUGGGUAUGCGGCCCAUUGUUCUAACCUAAUUUUUACUGUUGGAUCAAAGUAUAUCCAUGGCCAAAUAAUGGUCCUAUUGCUAGUCACUCUUUUGUCCACAAAUGAACUGGAGUGAAACCCGUAUCUUGACUGCUUUCCUUUUUAGCACCCAUCAGAUAAGCAACCCGGGCUGUUGAGAGGACGAUGUUAACUGACCCCCAAGGCAGGACCAGGUGCUGAAGUCCUGCUCUUUCAAAGAUGAUGAACCAGAGAAUACUGUGUCACUGCUUGUUCCAUUCCUGUGCUGGUACUGGCAAGUGGGAAAGCUGGGAUUCAAAUCCAAGUCUGUGUCUCCAAAAGUCCAUGUUGAAGCUGUUCUUGUUGCUGAAUUUAAUGAACCUCUAACACAUGAUCCAAUGGAGAAAGUGAUCCAAUGGAAAGGAUCCAAUGGAGAAAGUGUCACUGAGCUGGGCCGCAGAGCUGGUUAUCAAGGGUAGUCUACGAAGUCAGAGGGAACUUCACAAUGUUGGACACUGAGCUUCCAUGCACCUGGUCUAAAACGAGGAAGAGCAUAAGUAACAUAUGUGCUAAGUGGCCAGGAAUGAGGAAAGGGCUGCAUCCAUCCUGUCUGCCUCCCGUCCAAUGCAGAGGAAAGCCUGCACCCCUCCUUGGUCUGUCUCAAUCUGCAUUUUGCCAGUAAGACUUGCUGGGCCUCCACUCGGGUUAAGGUCGAUGAAUAAAACCAGAGAACUUAAAAAGAGGAAACAUCAACACUGAAGAGGUCAUGGGGAAGAGGAAGGAAAGUACGGCACCUGCUAUCAAUUUGACUUGCAUGUAACCAGAAUUCUCAGAACUUGUUGGUUGCUCCUGCUGGCUCCUGUCCAUGUAUGCCAAGAGGACAUGAUGGCAAGCGGAUUAGAACCAGAGAUGAUGAUCCUUCCAUCCCCCUCUGGGCAUCCUCCUCAGCUUCAAGAGCUACAGAUGCAAGAGCAUGAUGGGCAUCCUCCUCAGCUUCAAGAGCUACAGAUGCAAAAGCAUGAAUGAAGUCCUGCCUGUGUUGCCUGACUUUGUCACUGAGACCAGAAGGAGACCCCAUGCGGAAUCAACUAGCAAACACAAACAGCUGCCUGGUGCUGCAGGGCAAACAGACUUGAUGAUGAAAUUCUCAAAAUUCAUCAUUGCCUAAUUUUUUUUUUUUUUAGAAAUAUGCACCAUUUUGUUAGCCAAAGUGCAGAUUUUCGUAGAGAAAACAGGAAAAUUAUUGAUAUGGGUACACUCACAACGUGCUAAAUACAAACUAAACAGAUAACCCAUAAGGCAGAAAAUAUAACCCCUCCCCGACUCCAUUUCUGCCUUUGUCCCUUUCCAUCUGCAUGGCUGUCCCCCACCCUGGCAAGUGCUCUGCCUCUCCCAAGAGCAUUUUUGGGGGUCCAGCCAGGUAGCACCACCUUCCUUAUCCCUUAGUCCUUCCUGCUGCUCAGAGAGGAAUUUUCUGGAGCUGGGCUCUAAUCAGUGCACAGAGGUGGGAUGGAGAUGAGUUUUUUUAAAAUAUAAUUUAUCACGCAUUUGCACCCAUUGUUCUCCCAACCAGAUUGCAAACCACUAGGAUACAGGGUCAUGUCUAGUUUCUCUUGCCUGCCCUCCCCUCCCCAGCUCCCAAAUUAGACAUGGCAGAGUAUCUUUACUACACUGGGCUGGCAAUUCAUGUUUUACACUGAAUAAGUAGAUAAGGCAGAAUUGUCUAUUUUUAUGUUGUUUUUUGGCAGGUCCCUGCCAGACUUCAUAGGCAUAAACUAUGGGAUACAUCUCGUGUGCAUCCAAGUGAGAGAGAGGACAGUAAAACACAGUUACCUACACAGACAGGGAAAAUCACACUCACACAUACACACCGACAGAAUUUCAUUUAAUCAAGUGCACAUUGGAAGUAGAAAGCAUGAAGCUGAAAGUACUCCAGCUCUGUUUAGCCAACACUAAACCAUAAGAGGGACCUCAGCCUUUAACACAUGGCCGGGUUUGACAACUCUUUGGUUCCAGACUGACUUCCCAACUGACCAGUUGCUUUUGCGUCUCUUAGAUUCAGCUUCACCUUGAAUCCCAACUUCCUCCCUCCCCCUCCCUACUUCCCUGGGCGUUCUCUGGCUUUUCAGUCCUGGUAUGAGCCAAGCAAAGCUCAAUUAGCUAAUGAGGUGCCCAAGACCAGCACCAAGACUGUCUCCAAGGGCCAACCAGGCCAUUAACUGCCAUCAUCAGUGUUAAUUUACAACCUUGCCUACCACAUGGAGUGCGGGGAUGCUGUGAAGUUCUGCCAACCUUUUGGCUGACAGGGAUACAGAGAAGUGCUGGCAAGGCAAAAACAGAGUAAAUUAAAAAUAUGCUUCAAUCUAUAGGCUCUAUUUAUCUAUGUCUUUCUUUAGUAAUAUAACAUUAAGGUAAAAGGUCAUAGCCCCACUGAAAUAUAAUUUAUAUUUACCUUUUAUUAAAUAAUUAUGGCAUGGCAUGAAGUUAAAUAUUACAGAAGCUAAUCAAGAGGGAAUUCAAGAGAGAAAACUCAGACAUGAGAAUUUCGUCUUUGCUAUACAUAGAAUGUCUUAAUCCUCCACUGGGAGUCAUUCGGGUUUGCUUAAGGAGUUUAAUAAUACACAUUUCAACUGCCACAGAAUCUAAAUCCCAUUUGGAUCAGCCUUGAAAAACUUUCAUCAAUACCUUGAGAUUUCAUAAUAUUUCUCUUGAGAGCCUGGAUCUCAUGUGCCAUUUCUCAUUUUGAUUGCGGGUAUAAUAUAUGAGAUUACUUACAUAUAUCUUGGACCCAAUAAAUAAAUAUAAAC
This 3010-nucleotide long non-coding RNA is filed under the name Homo sapiens (human). Its description in RNAcentral is "HSALNT0134414". Lineage: Eukaryota; Metazoa; Chordata; Mammalia; Primates; Hominidae. The record is from RNAcentral.